GGACUACCCGGGUAUCUAAUCCUGUUUGCUCCCCACGCUUUCGCACCUCAGCGUCAGUAAUGGUCCAGUGAGCCGCCUUCGCCACUGGUGUUCCUGCGAAUAUCUACGAAUUUCACCUCUACACUCGCAAUUCCACUCACCUCUACCAUACUCAAGACUUCCAGUAUCAAAGGCAGUUCCAGGGUUGAGCCCUGGGAUUUCACCUCUGACUUAAAAGCCCGCCUACGUGCGCUUUACGCCCAGUAAAUCCGAACAACGCUAGCCCCCUUCGUAUUACCGCGGCUGCUGGCAC
RNAcentral lists this ribosomal RNA (292 nucleotides) under uncultured bacterium. Its description in RNAcentral is "partial 16S ribosomal RNA". The record is from RNAcentral.